UUGGAGGGCAAGUCUGGUGCCAGCAGCCGCGGUAAUUCCAGCUCCAAUAGCGUAUAUUAAAGUUGUUGCAGUUAAAAAGCUCGUAGUUGAAUUUCGGGAUCGAAUUGUUGGUCGUGCCUCGGUACGCACUGGCAUUAUCGGUUCCUACCUUCUGAAGAACCGCGAUGUCAUUAAUUUGGUGUCGUGGGGAAUCAGGACUGUUACUUUGAAAAAAUUAGAGUGUUUAAAGCAGGCUUACGCUUGAAUACAUUAGCAUGGAAUAAUGAAAUAGGACGUUUGAUUCUAUUUUGUUGGUUUCUAGGAUCGACGUAAUGAUUAAUAGGGAUAGUUGGGGGCAUUAGUAUUCGAUUGUCAGAGGUGAAAUUCUUGGAUUUAUUGAAGACUAACUACUGCGAAAGCAUUUGCCAAGGAUGUUUUCAUUAAUCAAGAACGAAAGUUAGGGGAUCGAAGACGAUCAGAUACCGUCGUAGUCUUAACCAUAAACUAUGCCGACUAGGGAUCGGAUGAUGUUAAUUUUAUAAUGACUCAUUCGGCGCCUUACGGGAAACA
RNAcentral lists this ribosomal RNA (549 nucleotides) under uncultured Glomus. RNAcentral describes it as "SSU rRNA". It matches the Rfam family "Eukaryotic small subunit ribosomal RNA", at positions 548 to 1099 of the family's 1831-position model. The record is from RNAcentral. Lineage: Eukaryota; Fungi; Glomeromycota; Glomeromycetes; Glomerales; Glomeraceae.